RNAcentral lists this ribosomal RNA (581 nucleotides) under uncultured bacterium. Its description in RNAcentral is "bacterial SSU rRNA". It matches the Rfam family "Bacterial small subunit ribosomal RNA", at positions 104 to 720 of the family's 1533-position model. The record is from RNAcentral.
GGGUGAGUAACGCGUGGGAACGUGCCUUUCACUACGGAAUAGCUCCUGGAAACGGGUGGUAAUACCGUAUACGCCCUUAGGGGGAAAGAUUUAUCGGUGAAAGAUCGGCCCGCGUUAGAUUAGCUAGUUGGUGGGGUAAUGGCCUACCAAGGCGACGAUCUAUAGCUGGUCUGAGAGGAUGACCAGCCACACUGGGACUGAGACACGGCCCAGACUCCUACGGGAGGCAGCAGUGGGGAAUCUUGCACAAUGGGCGAAAGCCUGAUGCAGCCAUGCCGCGUGAAUGAUGAAGGCCUUAGGGUUGUAAAAUUCUUUCAACGGUGACGAUAAUGACGGUAGCCGUAGAAGAAGCCCCGGCUAACUUCGUGCCAGCAGCCGCGGUAAUACGAAGGGGGCUAGCGUUGUUCGGAAUUACUGGGCGUAAAGCGCGCGUAGGCGGACUUUUAAGUCAGAUGUGAAAUCCCAAGGCUCAACCUUGGAACUGCAUUUGAAACUGGGAGUCUAGAGGUCAGGAGAGGUUCGUGGAAUGCCGAGUGUAGAGGUGAAAUUCGUAGAUAUUCGGUGGAACACCAGUGGCGAAA